UCCCUUGUUGGGAUGAUUUUUGGAUCAAUUCUUCCCAUCUAUCUGUAAGUUUUUUCUGUUAACAUAAAUAUAAGGAUAAUUAAUAUUGUAAAACAAUAAAAUAAAAUGAAACUAAAAUAAAAAAUGAAGAAUAUACAACUUAAAAUUGAGAAAUCAUUACAUACACAUAUUUUGAUCUUCUAUCAACUCAAGUAUUAUUCUUGUGGUAUUGGUGUGUGUGAAGAAACAAUUCCGAAAAAUUAGGAGGAGUGCCAUUCUAUUAUGACUAAGAAAAUAAAUAGAGUUGAAAAACAUGUUAGCAAUAUUUUAAAAAUAUAAAUUAAAAAAACACAUGUUUCUCAUCAUCCUCAUCCUCAUCUUCAACAUUGAUUUCUCAUUCUUCAUAUUCCCC
RNAcentral lists this long non-coding RNA (391 nucleotides) under Lathyrus oleraceus (garden pea). Its description in RNAcentral is "Pisum sativum (pea) long non-coding RNA (PSAT_LNC008586)". The record is from RNAcentral. Lineage: Eukaryota; Viridiplantae; Streptophyta; Magnoliopsida; Fabales; Fabaceae.